Molecule: long non-coding RNA, 676 nt
Organism: Gasterosteus aculeatus aculeatus (three-spined stickleback)
Lineage: Eukaryota; Metazoa; Chordata; Actinopteri; Perciformes; Gasterosteidae
Source: Ensembl
CAGCACUGACAUUCACAUCAUUUGUCAUUUAGAUAUGAGCCCCGUUUGGGUUUUUAGCUCGUUUUUACAGACGAUAAAUAGCAGUAAAAAAGUUUCCUGCGUUUAAAAAGAAAAUGUUUAUUGUUCCAAGGUGGACGUAACAACUGAAAAUACAUAUAACACCAAAGGAAGUGACACGACGGAUGGACGCAGUAAAAAACGGAGUGCGGGAAUUACCAACGCUUUAAGAUGUCCCCCCAUCCGCAUCCUGUUCUGGGAAAAGAAUCUUCUGUUAUUGAGAAUCCUGCAGGAAAGCAGAGCUUGCUGCGAUCUCCAUCGUACACACAUUUGCUUUUGUUUUACUUCUCUUGUGAUAAAGCUGUGAAACCUACAUGUCUUGGUGUGAAGACGCCUCAUCCGGCCAAAAGCAACAAAGAUGGAGGAGAGACGCCUGCAUCGUGUUUGGUCAAAGCUCGGGAAUCGGUGGGAACAAAAGACUCUGCAAACAUUGGCUGAGCUCUCGCACAUAAACAACGCAGCGGAUGGAUCCGAUAGCAGAAUAAGUCAGAAAGGCUCUGAUUAUUAUUCAGGACACUAAGGUCCUCCCUCUCUAGCCCGAGUCGGAGCUUCGCCUGCAAAACUUUCCCUGGGAUGGAUCUUUUUAGAGGGAGGAGCGCUUCCAGAGAACAAAGGUGGC